This is a long non-coding RNA of Canis lupus familiaris (dog), 5141 nucleotides long. RefSeq lists it as uncharacterized. The transcript has 3 exons. NCBI's taxonomy places the organism in Eukaryota, Metazoa, Chordata, Mammalia, Carnivora, Canidae. The record is from RefSeq and is a predicted model, not a curated record.
GUUGCUAGGCAACGAGGGAGGAGUCGGUAUUCCUGAGAUCAGGGAUGGAGUCCUCUGAGGCAUGAAGGUUUCGGAGGGCUGAGUGGCGGAAGCAGUGCCACUCUGAAGCCUGUUGUAGCCACUGUCACUCAGCCCUGGGUAGCUCUGCAAGGCAGCCAUGUUGCUUCGGGCACAGGGCGGAUAAUCAGAGAGGUUGAGAUUGCACAGCUGGCUCUCUCGACAGCCCACGUUGAAAGUGUUGGGGGCCAGAUGAAAUGUUGGAGGAGAACAGGAUGGAGACAGAAGGUGAGAGGAAGCUGAAGGGGAUGGUGUCCCGGUGCUGGAGGUGGUCGGGGAAGUGCCUGUGCUGCCCCCUGAAAAAUAAAAGGUGAACACCAUUGAGCCAGAGGCCUUUCAAGAGGAGUCUGUCUGGCCAGAUGCAAGCCACACAGGAGGAAGCUUCAGAUGUCCAAGAUGGGCUGAUUUUUACAGAACCAUAGCUUUCUCUUAACCGACGUACGCUAAGUGAUUCCAACUGUGCACACAAACACAUGCACACACACACCUCCGAAAGAGAAGAGGACAAAGAGGUGACACACAAGAACACUAAACUCUUGUGUCCCUGUGUGUAAGUGCCUUCAAAGUCUUGUUUGAGAAAGCAAUAAGGCUUCCAGUAUCCACUUUGCCAUCUCUCACCGUCAGAUCCACUUUCCAGUAAGACCUCUGGUAAUCAGCAUUAAAAUCCACCACCUCAACUUCCCCCCUUGUCCACGGAAAUAUGUUAAAUACGUGUUGUCACCUGAGACUAUUGCUGACCUUGCCAGCUAAAAACAAAUCUCAGGCCCUGACCCUCAGAGGAAAUGGGGUACUGGGGUAAGGUGUCAAGUCAAGGUUGAGGCCUGGAAAGGCUGAGCAGGGAGGACCAGGCAGUGGGAAGUGAGGUAUGGGAUCGAAGUUCUGUCGUAUGAUAUUACAAGCACAACCAGAAAAGCUAAGCUAACCUGUAACAAAACCGUUAUAAUCCAGAGGCUCUGCUAAUGUCUCUCUAGAAGAGCCUGCCAUCUGUCUCAGAGACUGGAACAAAGACUGCAAAUGUAGUCUGUGGAUUUGGGGUAUUUCUGAGGGCAAGAGUCCAGACAGGUCACAAAGUCAAGAGAUCUGGGUUCUCACAGCUCUGCCACACAAACCCCCCAUCUGACCCUGGGCAUGUCACUUAUCUUCUCUGGGUUUGUUUCUUUAUCCAGAAGAUGAAAAAUUGAAUUAGCUCAGUAGUUCUUAAGCUAGGAGAAGCUGCAAACUUCAAGUUCCAGGAUCCCACCCACCUCAGACCAACUAAAUGAGAAGCAAAGGAUUCUAAUGUGCAACCAGGGUUGAAAACCAGUGAUACCACCCAAAUCCCUUAUAUCAGAAUACCUAGCAGAGUGAUUCUUAAACUUUAGGGUGCAAGAGAAUCACCUGGAAAGCUUAUUAAAACAAAUUGCUGACUCUGUCCCCAGAGUUUCUAAUUCUACAGGUCCAGGGCAGGGCCAAAGAAUUUGCGUUUCUGAGACUCAUGCUGCUUGCUAGCCUAGAGACCACACUUUGGGUUAGGAGAUCUCCACGUCCCUUUCAUCUCAAGUUCCUGAAACUGCAUUUGACAGAGUUGCUCUUCUGACGUGUGGAUAUUAGAAAUGGAUUGGUGGCUGAUGCACCAACAGAUAAAGGGAAGGUUCAACCCAACCUACUUCAUGUGUGUUCUCACAUAGUCUACGAAGGUAAAAAUGACCUUUCCAAGCCUCUCCUUUCACGGGCUACAAAGCAGCUGGGCAGCAGCCACUUCUUGCCUCAAGGGCCGGGGCUGCUGAACCUUCCAAUUGAAUUCCAGAAUGGGAGGCUGCUCUGUCUUCCAUAGGCAUGCUCCCAUGAUGGAAUUCCUCCUUCAGGACAAGGUUGGGAGCUUCCCAGAGUUGUUGAGAGCCCCAGUUCCCCCAAGGAGCAUGGUACCCUUAGGUCAUCCACAACUCAGGUGAGGAUUUUUAGAACCUAAGAUUCUAUAAAAGGGUAAAGGAUAUUUUAAGUGGGAAGGAGUAGUAAUAAAGUUUUUAUUAGUGAGAAAAAUGUGAAGAAAACUGGCAGGAUUCCAGAGAUAUUGGAAUAGAGAGAAACCAUCAACAGUGUGCCAGGGAGGUGGGUCCAGAUGUGCAAAUUUGGAGGCAGAUACCUCAAAGAGAAACCCAAAGUUAAUUUUUAGCCUCAGCCUACAUACACAGAUAUGGUAGUAGUAUUGACUAUGGAAGUACAAAUUUAUAUCCUGUUAAUAGUUUUUCAAUUUUCACAAAACCCAACUAGUAUCAUCUCUUCCUUGGUCAAAAAAAUUUCCCAAUGAACUUCCAAAGUAGAACAGUAAACAGUUGCUGAUUUUAAAGUCAUUUCAGGAAAUUCACCUUCCUGUUUCUUCUUUAUGCCUUAAAUUCCUUUAAGAGAGGUAAAAAGAGUUUUAUUCCACAAAGCCAACAGCUGACCAUUGGUAGGAAGAGCACCCAGUCUAAUUCUAGGUCCGUUGGCCUCUGUCCAUCUCAUGACCACAGGCAACAUGGGCUACCUCUUCAUUCUCCCCAUCCUUAAAGAGAGUCUCAAACUGAUAGGCUUCAGUCCUUCUCAGAAUUACAUGUGUGUCUAAGGAUUAAAUUUGUGGUAGAGUGUACAUGGGCAAUAACAAGUACUUUUCAAGGAACCAUUUUAAUACAAAGAAGGAGUUUUGGAAGGGGAGAGCUGAGCAGAAAAAGGAAGAACAUUUCCCACUUCUUGUCUAUGGACCACUGAGUGGCCUAGCCUACCGGGCCUUAUAGGAAGUUCAGAGAUUCAUUUUCUGCAGGAGGCAUUCUACACAUUUUCCUCCUCUUCCACCCUAACCACUAUGAGCUUCAGUGAAAUAAGUGCUAUGGCACACAUGGAGAAACUUGACUCCAGCUGUAAAGAGAUUUGUGUUUUAUGGGAUAUGUAUCUGGUCUCCUCUCUUUGAAAGUCCGUCCUUGCUUUCCCAGAUCUGGUGUUUAUGUGAUCCCUGAAGAGACCCCCUGUUCAGCACCCCGCACUGUCCUGUUAUAGGUACACUCCAUCAGGCACCAGCCCUAGCCCUGCAGCAGGAAGUGCAAGAUGGAGCAGAUGACUUUUUACAACUCUAAAUGGUUUUCUCAGAUGGCCCAAGAUAGAACGAAUGGUACUGAUUUAAGGCCUCAAUUGGUUUCACUACAAAAAAAUAAGAAGGGAACUAUUAACAAGUUACAGAGAUUUCUGCUGAGCAGAUGAGAGGUACAUGUUAAAAAGUUUGUAGUCAGCUUGCUUUGGCUUUUAAAUGACACUCACUGGAAAUGAGACUUGGUGGCCUGCUGAGUUUCAGGGGGUGGGAACCCCCACAUGAACUAGCGUUUGAAGAAAUGCUCUUCUGCAUUAAAAAGACUCAAUAUAAAUAACAGCUAUUUUUCAAGGUCCAUGGAGAAAGAGAAGACUAUGGUACUCAUUUUGUAGAGAAGCAAAUCGAGAUACUGAGAGGUCUUUACUCUCUUAUGAUCUCACAGCUUGUCGGCUGUUAAACAAGAUCAGGAGUGCCAGCCAAGUGCUAAGUAAGCACAAGGAGGCAGGCUGCCCUCCCUGUGCAUUUCAACACUUGGCUGCCUUGAGGCCUCACAUCACCAAAGAGCUAGGGCAGAGUAGGAGGCCAGGCCACACUGAUACAGAAGGGUCAGAGCUGCCUCUCAAAGAAAAGCAUACCUCCCUUUCCUGCGUAACAUUCUCAUCUCACCCCCUCUGGUUCAGCCAGGUCCUGAAUGCUCUAAGGGUCUUGAUUUAAACCUGCUGUAAUAGAUGAGAAUGGACUGGAUGGAUCUGGAUAUUUUUUUUAAUAUUUGUCAAAAUUAAAUACAUUGUAAAUAUUGUUUCCUUUUUUCUUCCCUUCUGUAAGUGAAGGAGGAGUGAAAGAAGGAGUAAGGAAUCCUAGUGCAUUUGAGUUCUGAUGGAAAGACUCUCAGGUGUUGGCUUCUGUCCAUGCAGCUGAGCAUCUUGGCCUCCCCACACACUGACCAAGCAAGUGGAAUUGAAAACAAGUAGGGUUCUGAGUCUCUGUGCUUCCUGGAUGGUCCUGUUUCACACUUGCCACACUGCCCAGGUGGGCUGUUCCUGGUGUUUCCCCUUCCAUUAACUGGUUUGUUUUCUCUGCUACUUCUUUUACUGCCUUCCUUGCUACCACGUACACUUCAGUUGUGAUUGCCAUUUAGAGCUGAUCCGCCUCUCUCCUAGUCACAGUACCCAGCUUCCCACUGAGUAUCCUCCUCCCCACUCUCAACCCUUCACUCCUACCUCUAGGAAGGCAUGUGACUAAGGGCAGGAUGGUGCAAGCACCGUAUUCCCCAGUCCCCACCAUAGUAAUUGGUUCAGAGGUGAUGAGAGUUAGAGUUAAUGAGACUCCAUGAGAUUUUGCUAGGAACCUUAAGGACACAUGGCCUUUCCCAUCAGAUUUAAAUUUAAGAAGAUGUAGGUCUAGGGCUACUGGCAGCUAUGUUACCACCAUGGAGCAGAGGAGGUGCCUGAGAAUGAAGUCAGGUGGGAGCCUGGAGCAGGGUGGUGGCAAGGGAAAUUAGAGGUAUGGAUGGAUUCCUGAACUUGAUGACAUUUAGCUAUGCUGGAUAGGGAUGGAGGGAAACACCCAGGAUGGUGAGUGGAUAGCAGAGUCCUUCCCCCAGGAGAGGGCGCCAAGUCUGCGAGGUAAAUCAUGGACUCAAUUUUGGACAUGUUGAGCAUAAAGGACUUUGGGACGAAAUAGAAUAUGUCACCAAUAACGGCUUGUUUUAGCGGACUGAAUUGAGAUGCUCUCCAAUCCCUGUUAUAAGCGCCUCACGGGCAUCAUUCCUGAUCUCAGUGAUAAAUGAGAUAUGCAUAAGUGGCUAUCUGAAUUGUUAGAGUGAUCCACAAUAGUUCAAAGACAAGCUGUUCAUUGAACUGUCUUCCAUUCCUGAUCUUUUACUGGUAUGAAUUUCUCAGUAUCUGAUCCUCUUCAAGGAUCAACCUCUAAUUAUUACAAAUCAAACUGAUGAAAAUCCCAACACUGAGAGAAAUGCUCACAAUCCCAUUAACUGCCUGACAAACAUUAAAAGACCCAGUGGAAAAAAAAAAAAAAAAAAGACCCA